Molecule: long non-coding RNA, 246 nt
Organism: Bradysia coprophila
Lineage: Eukaryota; Metazoa; Arthropoda; Insecta; Diptera; Sciaridae
Source: RefSeq, a predicted model, not a curated record
AUUUCUAAUUGUUGUAUUGCUGGUCUGGUAAUAUUAAAUUACUAAGCUGUUCCGACCAAUGUUGAAAAAUUUGUAUUUCAAGGUAAAAAAUGAAACGUAUUACCGUUUACAUUAAGAAUAGACGAAUACAAGGAUAAACGAUGCUGAUUUCGGCGUAUCACGCCUCAUCAGUACACCUAUGUCUUGCCAGGACAAUGUGUAUGUUAGCACGGCACAAACUAGAGUGACAUGCCAUCGCAUCGGAUG